GCAGCCGCCACGGUAAUACGGAGGGUGCAAGCGUUAAUCGGAAUUACUGGGCGUAAAGCGCACGCAGGCGGUCUGUCAAGUCAGAUGUGAAAUCCCCGGGCUUAACCUGGGAACUGCAUUUGAAACUGGCAGGCUAGAGUCUUGUAGAGGGGGGUAGAAUUCCAGGUGUAGCGGUGAAAUGCGUAGAGAUCUGGAGGAAUACCGGUGGCGAAGGCGGCCCCCUGGACAAAGACUGACGCUCAGGUGCGAAAGCGUGGGGAGCAAACAGGAUUAGAUACCCCAGUAGUCCCUGUCUCUUAUAC
RNAcentral lists this ribosomal RNA (302 nucleotides) under uncultured bacterium. Its description in RNAcentral is "partial 16S ribosomal RNA". It matches the Rfam family "Bacterial small subunit ribosomal RNA", at positions 508 to 807 of the family's 1533-position model. The record is from RNAcentral.